Molecule: unclassified non-coding RNA, 213 nt
Filed under: uncultured Pezizales
Lineage: Eukaryota; Fungi; Ascomycota; Pezizomycetes; Pezizales
Also listed under: 2 other names
Description: sequence contains ITS2
Source: RNAcentral
AACACAUUCAAGCUUCUUUUUAAUUUUUGCUUGGUCUUGAGGGAUGAGCGAGACAGAAUAGAACUUUUUAAAAUUCUUGUUCUAUCUUGCUCACCCAUCGAAUUUCAGUGGCGGAUUUAAGCACAGUUGGCCCGGUGUGAUACGGUUUUCAUGUCAUCGGUCCAGCGUGUGGUAACCUCCUGCCCAUAGAAACUCCCCUCUAAUAUUAUUAUC